GCGCCUGUUAGCUCAGAUGUUUAGAGCGUGGUGUUAAUAACGCCAAGGUCGCGGGUUCGAUCCCCGUGGGCGCC
This 74-nucleotide transfer RNA is filed under the name Ameiurus melas (black bullhead). It matches the Rfam family "tRNA". Rfam says of the family: Transfer RNA (tRNA) molecules are approximately 80 nucleotides in length. Lineage: Eukaryota; Metazoa; Chordata; Actinopteri; Siluriformes; Ictaluridae. The record is from Rfam by way of RNAcentral.